This 126-nucleotide small RNA is filed under the name Marmota monax (woodchuck). Lineage: Eukaryota; Metazoa; Chordata; Mammalia; Rodentia; Sciuridae. The record is from RNAcentral.
GCCUGGUGUGGUGGUGCAUGCCUGUAAUCCCAGCAGCUUGGGAGGCUGAGACAAUAGGAUCGUGAGGCUGGAAGCCAGCCUCAGCAAUGGCGAGGCACUAAGCAACUCAGUGAGACCCUGUCUCUA